RNAcentral lists this ribosomal RNA (253 nucleotides) under uncultured bacterium. RNAcentral describes it as "partial 16S ribosomal RNA". It matches the Rfam family "Bacterial small subunit ribosomal RNA", at positions 524 to 776 of the family's 1533-position model. The record is from RNAcentral.
UACGUAGGGGGCUAGCGUUGUCCGGAAUCAUUGGGCGUAAAGAGCGUGUAGGCGGCCCGGUAAGUCCGCUGUGAAAGUCGGGGGCUCAACCCUCGAAUGCCGGUGGAUACUGUCGGGCUAGAGUGCGGAAGAGGCGAGUGGAAUUCCUGGUGUAGCGGUGAAAUGCGCAGAUAUCAGGAAGAACACCCGUGGCGAAGGCGGCUCUCUGGGACGGUACUGACGCUGAGACGCGAAAGCGUGGGGAGCGAACAGG